RNAcentral lists this small nucleolar RNA (134 nucleotides) under Carlito syrichta (Philippine tarsier). RNAcentral describes it as "Small nucleolar RNA U109 (ENSTSYG00000021345.2)". It matches the Rfam family "Small nucleolar RNA U109". Lineage: Eukaryota; Metazoa; Chordata; Mammalia; Primates; Tarsiidae. The record is from Rfam by way of RNAcentral.
UCGCAUGUAGAAAUGUCUGCUCCUCAUUCCGUGGGAGCAGGAAUACAUUCAUAACAUGCCACAUUCAAAAAGGAGUUCUCAGGGCUGCCAACCUAACAGUAAAGGUUGAGUGGUAGUAUAUUUCUCCAACAUAA